Labrus mixtus (cuckoo wrasse) is the source of this 780-nucleotide long non-coding RNA. RefSeq lists it as uncharacterized. NCBI's taxonomy places the organism in Eukaryota, Metazoa, Chordata, Actinopteri, Labriformes, Labridae. The record is from RefSeq and is a predicted model, not a curated record. The transcript is spliced from 2 exons.
UCACAAACCUGUCAGUGAAAGUGUAUCAACAUGUAACAUUCAAACGAACAACGAUGUGACAUCAAACCAAAGACUGAAAAAGUCUGAAGGUUUACGGUCAUUGACAAGAGUUUAUAAGGGCAAAGGUUAUAGAUUUUGGAAAUGUCAGGAGCUAUUCUUUAUUUUUGUCAGGGAGUGUGUGACACACCGAAAUGUGUUGUCACAUUUUGUUAUUGUAUUUGGUUAUUUUGUAUGAAUAUUAUACAAACGUAUCUGUGUUUUGGUUAAAGAAGUUAUUUUGAAGCUGUUCCUGUAUAUGCCACAUGGGGGCAGCACCUCCCCUGCUGAGCGAGCUGUUUAUUGUCUUUGCUGCGCUCUGCUUCAGUCUGGCAGAAGCGAGAGAAGAGUGAACAACUACAGUCGACUCAGUGUGUUUUCUUUGUCUUUUACAGGUUAGUAAUUGAAGUUUAAAACACAGAACUUUCACAAUAUGAUGCAGAUUUAAUCCCACUUAAAGUUCUAUUGGUUCUAUAACACUUUGUGGGUCUUAUGUUUGUAAAGAGAGUAAAAACGGUUUUGAGUGCUAGCAUGCUAAGAAAAGUGCCUCGUGCAUGACCGUAACUUUCAGUUUCAAUUCCCUUCUGAUUUUCAGUUGGUUAAAAACGCUCACGAUACUGUGUAAAAUAAAUAAAUAGGUCAUUUAUUCUGUUUAUGUACAAAAGUAAGAUUGUUGUAUCAGUUAAAUGUUAUUUGCUUAUCUGGUAGCUCUGUCAGUUAAUAUGGGUUUUUCCCAUUGAAAAU